CUAAGGAGAAAAAGUCGAGCGAAUCUUUGGGAGCUUGCUCCUAAAGGUUAUCGCCGGACGGGUGAGUAACACGUGGGCAACCUGCCUAUAAGACUGGGAUAACUUCGGGAAACCGGAGCUAAUACCGGAUAAUUCUUUUCUACUCAUGUAGGAAAGCUAAAAGACGGCUUACGCUGUCACUUAUAGAUGGGCCCGCGGCGCAUUAGCUAGUUGGUGAGGUAACGGCUCACCAAGGCCACGAUGCGUAGCCGACCUGAGAGGGUGAUCGGCCACACUGGGACUGAGACACGGCCCAGACUCCUACGGGAGGCAGCAGUGGG
This 320-nucleotide small RNA is filed under the name uncultured bacterium. RNAcentral describes it as "bacterial SSU rRNA". It matches the Rfam family "Bacterial small subunit ribosomal RNA", at positions 59 to 350 of the family's 1533-position model. The record is from RNAcentral.